Molecule: long non-coding RNA, 936 nt
Organism: Andrographis paniculata
Lineage: Eukaryota; Viridiplantae; Streptophyta; Magnoliopsida; Lamiales; Acanthaceae
Exons: 4
Source: RefSeq, a predicted model, not a curated record
CUCACCUUCUCCACUACGCAUCGAGCAUUAUCAUUGUCUUCUUCUACAACUCUCAUGUUUUUGUCUUCUCCACUCAAAUCGUCGUUGAAUUUCUGUAAGAAGUAUAAAAUCUUCUCCUCAACAUUGGCAGUGUGCAAUUGUUGUUAGGUCGGACUCAUUCCUAUUUGGGUUUAUUUUUUAGUCCAACUUUCAAGCCCACUUGUAUGUCAUUUUAGGGUGAAGAGUGCAGCAUGUGGGUUGAGGUUCUAUUUUCAUUUCUCAUAACACAAAAAAGCCUAAGAGUAGCCAUUCCCGCGACUACACUACGCAACUUCAGAAAAUUGGCAUCUUCCACUUUAUUAACCGUUGGAUUUGGGUGAUAUUUGAACAAAAGAUGAACCUGAGUGCUAUUAGAUGCAAUUGAAAGUGAAGAAAAACAAAAAUGGCUAGGUUGAAGAAGCAACUGAGGGAGUUAUUUUCUAUAGAGGACAUGGGAGCUUCCAAACAGAUUCUUGGUAUAAAAAUUCAUUUGUGACAUAAAAAAGAGAAAGCUUUGGUGUUCAUAGGAACACUACAUCAAGAAAGUUUUGCAGAGAUUUUGAAUGAAAAAUGCUGAUGUUCUGGGCUAUUUGGUGAAGUUUGCAGGGGGAGCUGUGGCAUGAUAAUCAUAAACGUAGAAGUGUGUUGCAUUGUUGACUACUGAAGCAUAGUUCAUUGCUAUCACAGAAGAAAGUAAGUAGCUGCCAUGGAUAAAGAAAUUCUUUCAUGAACUUGGUUUAGUUCAAGACAAGUACAUGUUUUGUGAUAGUCAAGUGGCAUUCAUCCCGGUAAAAACACUACAUUUCAUUGUUUGCGACAUAGACUUAAAGAAUACAAAACCCUCUAUUGUUUGUAGACCCGAAUCCGCCAACACUGAUGGAAUAAGGUUAUAUUUAAUUGCUUUAUUUUUUAUCUCAA